AUUGAACGCUGGCGGCAUGCCUUACACAUGCAAGUCGAACGGCAGCACGGGAGCUUGCUCCUGGUGGCGAGUGGCGAACGGGUGAGUAAUACAUCGGAACGUACCCUGAAGUGGGGGAUAACGUAGCGAAAGUUACGCUAAUACCGCAUAUUCUGUGAGCAGGAAAGAGGGGGAUCGCAAGACCUCUUGCUUUAGGAGCGGCCGAUGUCGGAUUAGCUAGUUGGUGAGGUAAAGGCUCACCAAGGCGACGAUCCGUAGCGGGUCUGAGAGGAUGAUCCGCCACACUGGGACUGAGACACGGCCCAGACUCCUACGGGAGGCAGCAGUGGGGAAUCUUGCGCAAUGGGCGAAAGCCUGACGCAGCAACGCCGCGUGCGGGAUGACGGCCUUCGUGGUUGUAAACCGCUUUCAGCAGGGACGAAAAUAGACGGUACCUGCAGAAGAAGCCCGGCGUAACUACGUCGCCAGCAGCCGCGGU
Molecule: ribosomal RNA, 478 nt
Filed under: uncultured bacterium
Lineage: Bacteria
Description: bacterial SSU rRNA
Rfam family: Bacterial small subunit ribosomal RNA
Source: RNAcentral